AUUGAACGCUGGCGGCAUGCUUUACACAUGCAAGUCGAACGGUAACAGGGUGCUUGCACCGCUGACGAGUGGCGAACGGGUGAGUAAUGCGUCGGAACGCACCGAGUAAUGGGGGAUAACGCAGCGAAAGCUGUGCUAAUACCGCAUACGCUCUGAGGAGGAAAGCGGGGGACCUUCGGGCCUCGCGUUAUUCGAGCGGCCGACGUCUGAUUAGCUAGUAGGUGAGGUAAGAGCUCACCUAGGCGACGAUCAGUAGCGGGUCUGAGAGGAUGAACCGCCACACGGGGACUGGGACACGGCCCAGACUCCUACGGGAGGCAGCAGUGGGGAAUUUUGGACAGUGGGCGCAAGCCUGUUCCAGCCAUGCCGCGUGUCUGAAGAAGGCCUUCGGGUUGUAAAGGACUUUUGUCAGGGAGGAAAUCCUUAGCGCUAAUACCGUUGAGGGAUGACAGUACCUGAAGAAUAAGCACCGGCUAACUACGUGCCAGCCGCCGCAGUAA
RNAcentral lists this ribosomal RNA (500 nucleotides) under uncultured bacterium. Its description in RNAcentral is "partial 16S ribosomal RNA". It matches the Rfam family "Bacterial small subunit ribosomal RNA", at positions 30 to 523 of the family's 1533-position model. The record is from RNAcentral.